AAAUGAAUUGACGGGGGCCCGCACAAGCGGUGGAGCAUGUGGUUUAAUUCGACGCAACGCGAAGAACCUUACCAAGGCUUGACAUGGAUAUGAAUGGGCCGGAAACGGCCAGGCCCUUCGGGGCAUAUCACACAGGUGGUGCAUGGUUGUCGUCAGCUCGUGUCGUGAGAUGUUGGGUUAAGUCCCGCAACGAGCGCAACCCUUGCGUCCAGUUGCCAGCGGGAAAGCCGGGCACACUGGAGGGACUGCCGUGGACAACACGGAGGAAGGCGGGGAUGAGGUCAAAUCAUCAUGCCCCUUAUGCCUUGGGCCACACACGUGCUACAAUGGGCGCCACAGCGCGACGCGAGGCAGCGAUGCCGGGCGGAUCGCCAAAAGCGUCCUCAGUUCGGAUUGCAGGCUGCAACCCGCCUGCAUGAAGCUGGAAUCGCUAGUAAUCGCGGAUCAGCAUGCCGCGGUGAAUACGUUCCCGGGCCUUGCACACACCGCCCGU
This 493-nucleotide ribosomal RNA is filed under the name uncultured bacterium. Its description in RNAcentral is "bacterial SSU rRNA". It matches the Rfam family "Bacterial small subunit ribosomal RNA", at positions 903 to 1397 of the family's 1533-position model. The record is from RNAcentral.